AACCAUUCUCACCUGCGGCUAGACCUGCGGAAGGAUCAUUACACAAAUUAAAAUAUGAAGGCUUCGGCUGGAUUAUUUUUAUCACCCUUGUCUUUUGCGCACUUGUUGUUUCCUGGGCGGGUUCGCCCGCCACCAGGACCACACCAUAAACCUUUUUUUAUGCAGUUGCAAUCAGCGUCAGUAUAACAAAUGUAAAUCAUUUACAACUUUCAACAACGGAUCUCAGAUCGGAAGAGCACA
This 240-nucleotide unclassified non-coding RNA is filed under the name soil metagenome. RNAcentral describes it as "partial contains 5.8S ribosomal RNA, internal transcribed spacer 2, and large subunit ribosomal RNA". The record is from RNAcentral.